UGCAGUCGAGCGGGGGUAGCAAUACCCUAGCGGCGAACGGGUGAGGAAUGCUUGGGAAUCUGCCUCGUAGUGGGGGAUAACGUUCCGAAAGGAACGCUAAUACCGCAUACGUCCUACGGGAGAAAGGGGGGGAUCUUCGGACCUCUCGCUAUGAGAUGAGCCCAAGCGGGAUUAGCUAGUUGGUGAGGUAAUGGCUCACCAAGGCGACGAUCCCUAGCUGGUCUGAGAGGAUGAUCAGCCACACUGGAACUGAGACACGGUCCAGACUCCUACGGGAGGCAGCAGUGGGGAAUAUUGGACAAUGGGCGAAAGCCUGAUCCAGCCAUGCCGCGUGUGUGAAGAAGGCCUUCGGGUUGUAAAGCACUUUAAGCGAGGAGGAAGGUUCGUUACUUAAUACGUAACGGAAUUGACGUUACUCGCAGAAUAAGCACCGGCUAACUCUGUGCCAGCA
This 451-nucleotide ribosomal RNA is filed under the name uncultured bacterium. Its description in RNAcentral is "bacterial SSU rRNA". It matches the Rfam family "Bacterial small subunit ribosomal RNA", at positions 56 to 513 of the family's 1533-position model. The record is from RNAcentral.